AGGAUUUAGGUGUACUGGGUUUAGGAUUUGAGUGUGGAAUGGCUAAUCCUUUUAAUCUCCAUUGAUGGUGACUUUUCUCUUUGUUGAUGCUGAUGGACAUAGUCUUGGUCAUACCACAUUAAAUUCUCUGUUUUUUUCUCUGUACAUGCACCUGGCCGCAACAGGACAUUUGUGUUGGAAACCUGUAUUAGGAUUUGGUGACCCAUAGUAACAAAAUUGAUUAGUGACUCAUAAUUCAAUAUUUGAGCAUAUUUUCUAAUAAGAGAAAUUUGAAACAUAUUGCCACCUCUUAUUAAUGAAACCUAACUAGUUUUUGAUUGUGCCGACCUCAUAAUUAAUCUUGCUCAGGAAUGUCAAACCAAGCAGCUAUAAAAUCUCUUCAAGCAUACAUUUUUAUCUUGCUUUUGUACUUUAUAAUUAAGAACUUUAUUCAAGCAUUUAGUGCAAUAACAUUUGACCAUUUUUAAUAUUAGUAAAAGCUAGCCAUUUUAUACUUCUCAUGCUUUUCCAGGUCCGGGAUAUAACCCACUUGCCAUUUGCUGAGCGAGAAUUGAUGCUAAUAAAGAUUGCCGUAAAUGCUGCUGCACGACGUGACGUUCUUGAUAUUGCCAGCAUUUUCAGGGCUAAAGCUGUUGAUGUGUCAGAUCAUACAAUAACCCUUGAGGUAAAGUCUUUUUUUUUUUUUUUCGAACGGAAAAUGUUAGCAGUUACAUGUUAGAUUAAUAUUUACUCCUUCGUCUGGGCUUGAACCGAACACCUCUCUAACUCCUUAUCUCUUAGCUCAAACUAGUUGAGCUACCCAACCCUUGAGGGUAAAGUCUACAUAGAUUUUUCAACCAGUGAUACAGUAUCACACACACACACAAUAUGUUAAGUGUGAUACUGUAUCGCUAUUGGUUUUUGGCAAGUACUUCUGUUUUAGUUUUUUUUUUGUUUAGUACUUUUUUUUUCUUUCUUCUAUAUUGGUUUCCUUUUUUUGGUCUUUGAACAUUGGGAUGAAGAAAAAGAAAGAUAAAUACAAACUUCCGGGCUCUGUUUUUGGUCUUAGUUGUUGCUCUUUCGAGUUGGUUUCAACUGAAACUUCUUCCCUGUGAAUCCUUUGCCGCUGCCGUCGAGAAAAAAGAAUAAAGAGUUCCAAAACUUCUUCCCUAGAAAUCCUUUGGAACCUGAAUAGCAUAUCCAAGUUUUUUUCUUUUUCUUUACAAAAACGAAUUUUUAAGGUUAUUAGGCAAGGAUCAACAAAGCCUUAUACUCACUACAUAAGCUAUAUCUCUAUUCAGUGUAGGAUCUCAACACCUCAUCAUCACUAGGAUUGGACAUCUAGACGUGGGCAAAUGUAAUUGGAGUAACAUGAAUAUAAGCACACCCCCACGCCCAACAGUGGAUCUUUGUAGUAUGGACAAAUGCAGGUGGAAUAACAGAUCUUAACCCAUAACAUAUCUAGGAUAGGUCUUGAUGCUAUAUUUGAAUUUGGACUUUAGGCCUAACUCAAGCGCAAAAACUAGCUCAAUUAGUGAGGACUGCCCUAGUCUUAUAAGGACUGAUUUCGUUAUAUUCCUAUAUCUCUAGUUGAUGUGGAUCACGACAGCCCUGCUCAAGACUUGACAUCUGGAGUAUGGACAAAUAGUGGCAGCCCAAUAACAACACUCUCUAAGCUAUUUAUUCAGCAUCCUUACAUGUUAAAAAUCCAGCUAUGCCCAUUGUCUGCAGCAUUCCACACCUGUUUUCUUAAUUGUGGUGGUUAGCCGUCAGCAAUAGAAUCGCUAAUUUUCUCAUCUCAACAGACAUACUUUUAGGUUUAAGUAGGUACUAUACGACGGGUGUACUGUACCCCAUUUUUGUAAUUCAUUAUAUUAUUCCUCUUUAAGAUUAAUAUUAAUAAUGAAAUUGGGGCAAUAAUAUGAUAUUUUUCUUUGAAAAGGCUUAUACAGAAUACUUUUGCAAACUUCUCUUGACAGUUGACAUUGCGUCUACAUUAAAAUUUCAUCCUUUCACCCAGGGUUAUGAUUGUUAUCCAGGUUGCUUCUUUUUUACUUAGUGCGGUUAGGAUAAUCAGAAAAAUCGGGAACUUGAUGUCAAGUUUUUUUUGUUGUAGUUAGCUGUUUGCAUUGAAGCAUUUGAUUCUUCUGCCAUAAGUAUAAAUGGAAUUAUCAAAGUACUGACUUUGGAUCCAUUAAUAUUUUUAAAUUGUUUCUGGAACUAAGUGAUAUGCUCUUAUGUCAGCUUACUGGAGAUCUGGACAAGAUGGUUGCAUUGCAGAGAUUGUUAGAACCAUAUGGCAUUUGUGAGGUCUGUUUUAUUAAUCUUUCCCAUGUAUCUGGUAGAUAUUUUGCUGUGACUGUUUACUUGUUUAACUAUACUCUGUUCAAUAUCCCAAAAAACAAAACAUUAUUCCAUAUAUUUUGCAGAGUCACAUUGGAUGCAUUUGCUUCCUUUUUGUAUUCACUAGUUCUGUUGAUGAUGGUAUUUUGCAUAGGGUAUGAUUGGAUGGAGGGUUUUGUUAGGAAAAGAAAGGGAAAGCAAUGGCCAUUUACUGAGUCAUUUUUAAUUAGCCAAAAUGUCAUUUCUUAUAGGAAACAGUUAAAUUAAUGUGAAAACAAUAUUUGUAAUUAAAGCUUUCUCUAAAUGAAUUUGUCUCCAUUACAAGUAAGGCUGCAUUCUACUUUAAAUUUUAGUUUGUCAUCAGGAUACACUUAGAAUUAUAAUUAAGAAUGAACACACUUGUUUACUUUAGAAGAAUGCUGUCCAUAAAACUUUGCUUCAUUUUUGUUCGAAAACCUUAAGUGUGGGCUUCACCAUGUCUGAAGGUUUAAUUUUUAAAUCCCAUAAGAACAAGUGUGAUAUGCCUCAGUAUACACCCUUUAAUUGACAAAAUAAUAUACAUUGUGUUUUUGAACCUACAAAUACAAUCACAUUACCAAUCCUGAGCAGGUCUAAACCACCAAAUCAUGUGUUGAAUUGGAUCAACAGUUUGGUGCUGCACCUGCCAGGCAGCACAU
Molecule: long non-coding RNA, 2999 nt
Filed under: Medicago truncatula (barrel medic)
Lineage: Eukaryota; Viridiplantae; Streptophyta; Magnoliopsida; Fabales; Fabaceae
Description: long non-coding RNA (MTRU_LNC006566)
Source: RNAcentral